Oncorhynchus keta (chum salmon) is the source of this 1571-nucleotide long non-coding RNA. RefSeq lists it as uncharacterized. The transcript is spliced from 4 exons. Lineage: Eukaryota; Metazoa; Chordata; Actinopteri; Salmoniformes; Salmonidae. The record is from RefSeq and is a predicted model, not a curated record.
AGGCAGGCAGGCAGACAGGCAGGCAGACAGACAGACAUACAGACAGACAGACAGAUUUUUCAAAGACAACCUCUUCUAUGGCCGGCCUGUUAGCAUACUGCAUCCACCUCUGUGAAGCCUCAAGGCCUUGAAAGCCCAUAAUUACACUCUCUGGCCGCUUUGAUGAUCUCUGAGCAGUGGUGCCACACAUAUCUGCAGUCUCAGAGAGAGAAAGACUAAACCUGCUGACUUCAAGGGAAAGACCUUGUCACCUUUCCAAGCGAGAAAAUUGUUCAGAGGUUUUAAACUUUAACAUUUCAGAAUCUAUAGUUUAGUGUCUAAAGUUUAGUUGAGUGAAUGAGCACAACGCUUUAUACACACUGAAGACAAGCUGGAGACUAACUAAGAUAUUGAAUGAAAGGUAUUAGUUAUAUGAUACUUUAGUCCAGACCAGUUUGUCAGUUUCUUUCAUACCAUGGAGCAGCACGCUUUGGACCAACUCUGACCUGGAACACCUACUGAUUCUUUUUCUAUUUGACCUCCACUCCCACUUUUCAGAGGUCAACUUGACCUCUUGAAUUAAAACAAUCACUUGAGAAUUGACUAAAUCUCUGUGAGCUGACUAUCUGACUGACAGCAUUCUUCCAUGGGCCAGCGCCGGUCUACAGACUGGAGGUUGAGAAACACUUUGUCUGGACGACUGACAGCAUUCUUCCAUGGGCCAGCGCCGGUCUACAGACUGGAGGUUGAGAAACACUUUGUCUGGACGACUGACAGCAUUCUUCCAUGGGCCAGCGCCGGUCUACAGACUGGAGGUUGAGAAACACUUUGUCUGGACGACUGACAGCAUUCUUCCAUGGGCCAGCGCCGGUCUACAGACUGGAGGUUGAGAAACACUUUGUCUGGACGACUGACAGCAUUCUUCCAUGGGCCAGCGCCGGUCUACAGACUGGAGGUUGAGAAACACUUUGUCUGGACGACUGACAGCAUUCUUCCAUGGGCCAGCGCCGGUCUACAGACUGGAGGUUGAGAAACACUUUGUCUGGACGACUGACAGCAUUCUUCCAUGGGCCAGCGCCGGUCUACAGACUGGAGGUUGAGAAACACUUUGUCUGGACGACUGACAGCAUUCUUCCAUGGGCCAGCGCCGGUCUACAGACUGGAGGUUGAGAAACACUUUGUCUGGACGACUGACAGCAUUCUUCCAUGGGCCAGCGCCGGUCUACAGACUGGAGGUUGAGAAACACUUUGUCUGGACGACUGACAGCAUUCUUCCAUGGGCCAGCGCCGGUCUACAGACUGGAGGUUGAGAAACACUUUGUCUGGACGACUGACAGUCCAACUCAGGUCAUUUUCCCAGAUCGCUCUCCUUUGUGUCCGUUAAGAAAUAGCUCAAGACAAGCCUUGCUGAUGAUGACAUCACUAUGUGACAGCAUCUGUCUUCUGAGUUUCAACCAUAGAAUGUGAGUCAGUAGAACAGACAUUUCCAUUCAAAUUGACAUUUGGAAUGCUUGAAUAAUUGAUGCAUUGCACAUGUAUGAGGAGCUUUGUCCGUUUGAUCAAUUUCUCAUUCUAUGGUUUUCUCAUCACAG